GGGCAGGAUCACCGGCUGUGUAGGAUCCUUAGAAAAAGUCUCUCCGUCUCGGCGGCGCUGCGUCCGACAGGCCACCCACCAGGAGAGAGGGUUGGUUAUUUCCCUGUGAGACCACUGAGGGAAGAAAUGACCACUACAACCUACAAGUACCAGUUGGUGUUGUUCCUGCUUUCCAUCCUCAGGGGGCAGCAAUGAGUCAAUAUGGCUUAGGGCACUACAAUAAGGCAAAAAAGAUGCAGCUCAGGAAAAGUGGGGUGUCAGAAAGGCGGUACAAGAGAAACCAGGGGUUAGACAGAAGCAGCGCUGCAAACCAAAAAAAAAAAUGCAGACAAAACAGCACCCCCACAAAAAGUUCAAUUUGAAAUAAGAGAGAUGGAUUUUGCAUCUCUUCCCAAGUCACUUUUUCUCACCUGGAGAUCUUGCUGCAAAGGAGGAAGUAGAAAAACAGCGGUGAACAGGAGAACUUUUUAGCGAUCGCAUUUUGAGAAGGAUAAAUGACGGAAAGAUGGACGAGUACAGUAAAGAUGUCGAUAAAAAUGAUGCAAGAAAAAACACAAGAGGCGGAGCCGCGGAAGGACAAAGAAAAAGGAGGACAAGACAGAUCAGGAGAAGGAAGCAGAAAUAGCAAAUGCUCGUCCUCUGGGUUUUUUUUUUCAUUGUCAUUGUCAGUCUGAGAUUGUUUGAGCGGACAACACUUGUGUUUUCUGCAGUUUGUGUCUUUUUUGUUGCCGAGAUUCCCUUAUAACAAAAAGACAGAAAUAUAGAUGGGCAAAGAAAAUGACAGGAAGGUGAAGUGAUGGAGAAAAUACAGCUGAACAAGAUCUCUCCGGGAUUCACUUUUGUCUCACCCGGAGACCUUGCUGCAAAGAGGGGGAGAGAAAACAACACGGUGGAGGGAGGACAGCAAACAGCAGAAGUUGUUGUGGGUUUAAAAUGGAACUGAUGAGGGGGAGAAAUGAAGUGAUGAUCGUACAGGACACAGAAAUUUGACCUGGCUCACCUGGAGACCUCGCCCCUACAAACAUGUGACAAAGAGGGGAAAGAGGAGAGAAGUGCACAGAUGUUUUUAUUUGUUCUGGAAUGAUCGAUAUUCUGUUCAGUGCAGGUAAAAACUGAAAUGUUGGGAAAAGAGCUGGAAAAAAAGAUAAAAUUAGCAAACACAACAAAUGGACCAUAAAUUCUC
Hippoglossus stenolepis (Pacific halibut) is the source of this 1183-nucleotide long non-coding RNA. RefSeq lists it as uncharacterized. The transcript has 3 exons. Lineage: Eukaryota; Metazoa; Chordata; Actinopteri; Pleuronectiformes; Pleuronectidae. The record is from RefSeq and is a predicted model, not a curated record.